This 836-nucleotide ribosomal RNA is filed under the name uncultured euryarchaeote. Its description in RNAcentral is "bacterial SSU rRNA". It matches the Rfam family "Archaeal small subunit ribosomal RNA", at positions 21 to 865 of the family's 1478-position model. The record is from RNAcentral. Lineage: Archaea; Methanobacteriati; Methanobacteriota.
AGGCCACUGCUAUCAGAGUUCGAUUAAGCCAUGCGAGUCGAGAGGUGCAAGACCUCGGCAUACUGCUCAGUAACACGUGGACAACCUACCCUACGGAAGGGGAUAACCCCGGGAAACUGGGGAUAAUACCCUAUAGACUAUGGAUGCUGGAAUGCUCUGUAGCCGAAAGGUCAGCCGCCGUAGGAUGGGUCUGCGGCCGAUUAGGUUGUUGUUGGGGUAACGGCCCAACAAGCCUGUAAUCGGUACGGGUUGUGGGAGCAAGAGCCCGGAGAUGGAUUCUGAGACACGAAUCCAGGCCCUACGGGGCGCAGCAGGCGCGAAAACUUUGCAAUGCGGGAAACCGUGACAAGGGAACUCUGAGUGCCCGUAAAAUCGGGCUGUCCAUCGGUUUAAAAAACCGGUGAAGAAAGGGCCGGGCAAGACCGGUGCCAGCCGCCGCGGUAAUACCGGCGGCUCGAGUGGUGGCCACUAUUACUGGGCUUAAAGCGUUCGUAGCUGGUUUGUUAAGUCUCUGGGGAAAUCUUCCGGCUUAACCGGAAGGCGUCUCAGGGAUACUGGCAGACUAGGGACCGGGAGAGGUGAGAGGUACUCCAGGGGUAGGAGUGAAAUCCUGUAAUCCUUGGGGGACCACCUGUGGCGAAGGCGUCUCACCAGAACGGCUCCGACAGUGAGGGACGAAAGCUGGGGGAGCAAACCGGAUUAGAUACCCGGGUAGUCCCAGCCGUAAACGAUGUGCGUUAGGUGUAUCGGUGACCACGAGUCACCGAGGUGCCGAAGAGAAAUCGUGAAACGUACCGCCUGGGAAGUACGGUCGCAAGGCUGAAACUUAAAGGAAU